GGAGUAAAAUGCCAGAACAGCAGUAGCUGUAGUAGACACCCUAGGGAUUUGCACCAGUUGAGCUAUACCAUUUGCUGGCCACCAGUGGCUGAAACCUCCAUGGAGACAAGGCAUUAUAUUUUAUAUCACCUCUCUCAUGUACUUAGGUAGGCUGAGGGAGAGGAAGUAAGCAACAAUGAGCUGUGUGAAUCGAAGUGCUUCGUCAAGCAUUGCGGCUUUGAGGAGACAAUCGUCGAGGGGUUUGAAUUCCCAGGGACCGGAGAGUUGCCCUUAAGUCCUCCAUUGAGUGAAGUACGUCAAUUGUUGUGGAGACAAAGAGUUUGUCACCGUCAAAGGGAAGAUCUUCAGUGGUACUCUGGAUCUCUUGAGGAAAGGAGAAGGAGGAGAGCCAUGAACCUCGGCGCAUGAGAACUGCUGUAGCAGUAGAUCUUGCUGCAGUAUUGGCUGCAUCGAGGGCACUUGAAGAGUGGUACUUGAGAUAAUUUGUCCCUCAGAAACUGGAGCCAUAAAUUGUUGUUUCUUUUUUCUGGAAUGUCAUCAGUAAAGUCCAUGAAUUUGUAAUUUUUGUGGUCAUAUUUUGCCAGAACGGCAGUAUAAUUAGCAAUGUGAAAUUGUAACGUAGAAGAUGCAUAUACUUUGCAUCCGAGCAGAUCUAAUCCCUUACUGUCCUUGUCAGAUGGGGUGGAGCAGGGAAACUGGUGCUUGGUCUUUUUGGUUGACUGCGUCUACUACCAGCGAGUUUGGCGCUGGAUGAGUGAAAAGGAAUUCAGAGCCCUUGGAAGGGAUGAAGUACUUGCGAUCCGCCCGCUUAUAAGUUGGUAGGUUUGCAGCCAGAGUCUGCCAGAUGGCCUUAGUAGGUUCCAAAAGGGCUGCGUUGAUCGGUAAUGCAAUCUUAGAGGAA
Chelonia mydas (Green sea turtle) is the source of this 901-nucleotide long non-coding RNA. RefSeq lists it as uncharacterized. Lineage: Eukaryota; Metazoa; Chordata; Testudines; Cheloniidae. The transcript has 3 exons. The record is from RefSeq and is a predicted model, not a curated record.